GUUAAACAGCCCUGUCCCGUCAGCUGGCAUGCUCCAGCCACAGGUGUCUAAUUGCAGAGUAGACAUUUCCUGUGACACUGAGCACAGGAACUGAGAGCAGGGAGAUUGUCUCUUCUGUGCUUUGUGCCCCCACUGCUGGCCCCCAAGCAGGACGGAAGAAGGAGGUUAAGAAAGGAAAGGAGCGGCAAAUGCCACACUUGGAAGAGGCAUUUCUCAGGGCAAUUAAGGCAUCACUGAUGGUCACUGCUGACUGAGAAAGAGCGGAGGCAGGAGACACAGUUCUUAAAUCCUGGAUUCUGCACAUAGUCCUUUUCCCAAGAACUUUCACUAUUUCCAGCCUUCUACUACCUUGGGUGUUUUGAGACUAUUGAUAUUCUUCUGUGGCUCCAUCCAGCCUUUCCUGGAAUAAUGCUCCUCCUCCAGGUCUUUAACUGAAA
Mauremys reevesii (Reeves's turtle) is the source of this 437-nucleotide long non-coding RNA. RefSeq lists it as uncharacterized. Lineage: Eukaryota; Metazoa; Chordata; Testudines; Geoemydidae. The record is from RefSeq and is a predicted model, not a curated record. The transcript is spliced from 3 exons.